Gallus gallus (chicken) is the source of this 3356-nucleotide long non-coding RNA. The record is from Ensembl. Lineage: Eukaryota; Metazoa; Chordata; Aves; Galliformes; Phasianidae.
GGGAUGUACGGGACAGGCCUCUCCCUAAGCAUAGAGAGACAGUGCUAUCGUGCUGACCUUGAUGCAGAGAAAACAGGAGAAGAAGAAGGAUGAGAAAAGAAUGUGGAAACGGCCAAAUAAGGCACAAUGUUAUCUGGUGUGAACCAAUCAGAGUGGGACAUGACAGCACGGUUUUGUAGGUAAAAAUGUAUAUAAGCUGUGUUUAGUAGUGAAUAGACGCCAUUUUGCUGCUCAUCGUAUUGGUGUGUGUCUGCAGUCAUUUGGCCCUGAUCAGGCUAUUGGUCCGUGAGCGCAGAGGCCUAACACAGGUGGCUAACAUCAUUGUUGCAGAAAGCAACAAAUGGUGCCCCGUGUGAGGAGUGCAUGAGGCACAGACUGUGUUCUGACGCUCUCUGUGCUGCUGCGAGCUGUGGGGUGACGCCAUAGCACGAGAUUUGGGGUGACGCCCAGCCCGAGUACCGUGAAGAGAGGGGGAGCCUGUAGAAGACGACUGGGGUGAUGCCCUGCAGAAGAUCGUGGUGAUGACGAUAGUGCCGGCCGGCAAGUAGAACCUGUGUUGCGGUGGGGUCCGGGGGGACGACGGGACGCCCACGGAGGACCCGUGUGGACGACGGUGUCGAGUGAGACUUCGCGGUGACGGCGAGGGGAUGACUAUGGAACAUGUUCUCAAGGGGCCGAGAGGAGACGGAGCCGCCAAUCACCACUGGCAAGAUAGCGCCGGCUCAGCCGACUGCGCUCAGUUCAAAAGAAGACAAACAACAAGAGAGUGGAUGUUUGUUGUCUCGUCCCCCUCCCCCGUAUCCAGACCCCUCAGGCGGAACGUUGUAUCCUUUAUCAGAAUUACGUCAGUGUUACCUGACUCAAGGGGGCGGAGGAAGCUGUGGCUACAUGGGCAGGAUCAACUUAGUGCCCACGUGGGGAGGGACCAGACGAAAGGUCCGUCCAAUGCGGACAGGGGGCAUAGCCUACCGUCUCUGGUCACUCCCAGGGGCGGUAGUGCGAGUGAUAGUGCAGAGGAGAAAGAAGGGACUGGCUUUGAGUGCAGGGGGAGGGAUCAAAUGACGGACUGGAAUUGGAUUAGAUUGGAGGCUUUGGGGAAGGGUAUAGUUCCAGAGGCAUUCCUGGUGAUUGUGAGUGAUCAUGGUCCCAAAUGGGUGCCGCCUGACCCCGGGGGUAUUACGCGCCUGGUGGAAUUUAUGGAUAAAAGAGGCCUGAAGUCGCCUCUGACAUUAAAUGCACUACAAACUUUGGCUGCACUGGGGCCUCUCUUCCCCCGUGACAUCACAAACCUAAUGCGUAUGGUGCACAGGCUGGUUCAAUAUACGUUAUGGGAGACGGACUGGAUGGCCGAGUUGGGGAUGCGUGCCGGGGCGGCAGGGGUCAGCCUGGGCUGCUCCCUGCAUGGGACCGGCAUCCAGCGGCUUUCAGGGAGGGCCGUGGGAGUGGCUUCGCCCCAGGGCCAGUUAGCUAAACUAAGACCGGGGGAGCUAAUAGCAGCCACAGAUGCAGUGGUGGAAGCGUUUAAUAAACUUGUGCAUAAGGCCGAACCACCUGCUCCGUGCACAGAUAUUACCCAGGGCCCGAAUGAAUGCUUUCAAAGCUUUGCAGACAGGCUUUUAGCUGCUGCAGAGGGGUCUGAUCUCCUGGAACUGGCCCAAGGGCCAGUGAUCAUUGACUGCCUGCAGCAGAAAUCGCAUGACAAUGUUAAGGCAUCGCUGCGAGCCAGCCCAAGUACGCUUAAUAUCCCGGGAGAAAUUAUUCAGUAUGUCUUAGAUAAGCUCAAGGUGGCUCAUUUAACUAAUGAAGGGCUAGCCACAGCUAUUGUCGUAGCUGUUGGCCCGCAACAGCAAAGAUCGCUGCAGCAGCAAGGGCUGUGUUUCCGAUGCGGCCAGUAUGGCCAUGUCAGAGCACAGUGCCCCUGAGGGGGAGGCCAGUCAGGGCCUCCUGAUCACAGGAAGGGCUUGGUAAAGGGUAUCCGUUGUCGGGUAUGUGGCAGUUAAACAUCAUGAAUCUGGGAAAUUCUGUGGGUACCAUCACGAAAAGUAAUACCAGAUAUAAGUAACAUAUCUGCAAAAACUGAGUCUAGGUGCGAGUUUUCUACAGAAAUUCUUCGUUGGCAAACCCAAGCCAACUCCAGAACAACUGAGGGACAGACGACGGGAUCAAGAACCACUCAUCAAGAGGAGCACUACACCUGCAACGCUGACACUUCCGAUGUUGCUGAUGUUUAUGGUGUCCCUGGUGAUUACAGCAUGUCGCAAACAACUACAAUGGACGCAAGAACAUAUGCAGAAGAUUACAGAAGAGCGUGAUCCCUUUGGGAGCUGGCUGGAUGGACUGUUUGGGGGAACGGGUUCAUGGUUAAAGCAACCACUUAAGGUUUUCACGAUAGGGUUUGCAAUCUUUGUGUGUAUUGUAAUCUGUCUUUCACGCUUUGUAGGAUGCUUGUAGAACUGCCUUCAACAAAUGAUGGACAAGACCUUUGACUAUCGCAUUGAGUAUCAUAGAUUGUGUGAAAAAUUAUAGAGGGGUUUAGGUUGUUGCAUUCAUGCUGUAACGGGGCAAGGCUUGGCCGAGCACGGGAAAGAAUUCCCUGUUGCUCUGAUGAUUGCUUAAGAAUUGUAGAAGAAGGUAGUAGGAAUAGUGUGCUGAAAUAUAUUUAGGAUUAGGCGUUUUGCGCUGCUUCGCGAUGUACGGGUUAGGCGUGUGUGUAAGUAGUAUUUAGCUUAGGGUGGGGGGGAUGUUGUAGUAGGCGUCUUGCGGGGCUACAGGAUGUACGGGACAGGCCUCUCCCUAAGCAUAGAGAGACAGUGCUAUCGUGCUGGCCUUGAUGCAGAGAAAACAGGAGAAAAAGAAGGAUGAGAAAAGAAUGUGGAAACAGCCAAAUAAGGCACAAUGUUAUCUGGUGUGAACCAAUCAGAGUGGGACAUGACAGCACAGUUUUGUAGGUAAAAAUGUAUAUAAGCUGUGUUUAGUAGUGAAUAGAUGCCAUUUUGCUGCUCAUCGUAUUGGUGUGUGUCUGCAGUCAUUUGGCCCUGAUCAGGCUAUUGGUCCGUGAGCGCAGAGGCCUAACACAGGUGGCUAACAUCAUUGUUGCAGAAAGCAACAACUGGGUACUUCAGCCAGACAGACAUGAUUUUUAAAAUAUGAUGGUGAGUGACUUGGCAACCACAUCAGCCAUCUCUCUCAGAACCCUAGGUUGGAUAUCAUCUGGCCCCAUGGACUUACAUAAAUUCAGUUUCAUGAGGAGGUCUCAGGCUUGUUCCACUUUUACAGUGGGAUGGAAUCCGCUCCUCUCACCCACACCUAGAGCUUCGAGGUCCUGGCAGACAUGGGGAGGAGCCUGACAACCAGUC